Triticum dicoccoides is the source of this 944-nucleotide long non-coding RNA. RefSeq lists it as uncharacterized. The record is from RefSeq and is a predicted model, not a curated record. Lineage: Eukaryota; Viridiplantae; Streptophyta; Magnoliopsida; Poales; Poaceae. The transcript is spliced from 3 exons.
GCAACCUCGGUGCCCCCUCCCCAACCGCCACCGCCACCGACCCCACCCUCUCCCCCAUCCCCUACUCUCACCUUCUCUCCUUAAACUAGGCGGCCACCAGAACGAGCAGGCCAAGGCGCUUCCCGAUUUGCGGCGCUGCUUCCGGAUCCGCCCGAGCAGAGCCAAAGGUCGGCUCCUGCGUUGUUCUGAGCCAAGGUUGGCCUCCUCUUCCUUCUCGGCGUGGUCCAUGGCGCUAAUUCAGGACGGUACCGCCUCUCCGGUUCCCCAUCCCACCCCUAAAUCAAUAGAUGGAUCUCCAUGGUUGAUGUGUUUUCCUACUGCUCUGGUUGGUCGCAGGUGAGGCACUCAAUACCAUGGCCAGACGGAGGUUGGGUGAUUUCCUUCCCUGACCUCGCCGCCUAGCUACUCCACCGUGAGCUUCUCGUCCCCAGUGGCGUACAAGACGUCCUCCUCCUCGAUGCAGCCGUUCCCAAUGAGCUCUCUUUGCUGGAUGAGGUGCAGAAGCAAGUCCAGCACCCCCUUGGCCCUUGCAACAUAUCCUACAUCGCAUGGACGAGCUCACGCACUGAUGGCUGCAUCCUCCUUACGUCCUAGCGUGAUAUUGGUUUAUGGGAGCAUUUUAUAGUGUGACACAUUUUUCAUCAUGUGGCAGAUAUUGGUUUAUGGGAGCAUUUUCAACAACAAAGACAUGACGAUCGGAUCCACGGCCAGGAACGCGGGAUGACCACUGGUUGACAUCGGAUGAGCAUUGUGCGUUGCUUGACGGGUGUGGUGUUGGCUGUAGGGUAGCAUAGUGUUCUUUGAGACAUGCUUGUAGAAUUAUUCUUUUUUGGGUCCUUUUUUUGCUCCUGUAUAUGUGUAUUUUUGGGUGUGUUUAUGUAAUUUUUUGUUUUCAAGGACCUGAGCAUAUAUUUUCCCGUAAAUUAUUAUUGGCUUAAAAUUUC